Phascolarctos cinereus (koala) is the source of this 1120-nucleotide non-coding RNA. The record is from RefSeq and is a predicted model, not a curated record. Lineage: Eukaryota; Metazoa; Chordata; Mammalia; Diprotodontia; Phascolarctidae.
GCCGCCGCCGCCGAUGAUGAUGAUGAUGAUGAUGAUGAUGAUGAUGCUGCUGCUGCUGCUGCUGCCGACGCUGCUGCUGCUCCGUGGCAGGAGGAGCCAUUGACACCGCCGUAGACACCACACGCUCAAGUGAAAGUUUUUCAAAUACUUGAAGAUAGCCAUUAUGUCACCUUUGACUUUACUCUUCUUCAGACAUAUAUCACAGUACCUUCAAUUGAUUUGAGUCACUGAGUCUCUUUGGACUUGAAGUGCUUCUGGCUUCCAGCUUCAAGAGAGAAGAUGGAUGAUGCCCACUCACCUUCAGGUUUAAGAAGAAGCCUCUGGGAAGAAGUUGACAUGAGAAGAGCCGGCAGUCUUUAUCAUAUCUCUAUCACUAGCUUGCUACAUUAGUGACUUCAGAGAGCUUCCUUCUGGUCAUUUACAAAUAUACUGCCUGCCUCUACACAUCAAGACUUCCCUUGUAAUACAGAAAAAGAGUUAAGAAAACUGACAUGGCAACCACAUCUGACAGUGUAUCCCAUCCUGUACGAUUAUGUGUCUUUUGCUUUGAACUAAUGUAGAAGCUAUUUGGCCUGGUGGGGAAAAAGACAUGUUCAUAGGGACUCAUGAGCUGUAUACAUUCUGACCUACAUCUAUAACAUGUCUCAAUACACAGGGGUUGUUUUUAGAGAUGCAUUUGUGAGAGUGACCCAAUGGGUCUACAGAAUACACAAACAAGAAUAAUAUAAAACAACGUGAAAAGUAUAUUAAAGAGGUCUGGAAAAAGUGCCAUGAGCCCCACCAAAAUGGACAUGGAGUUGGUCAUUGCCCUUCAUUCUUGAAGAGAACCCAGAUGACAUCACUGUGUUGGAGUCAAAGUACAGUGUGUCCAACCAUGGCUGAUCAGACCAAUAUGAAUGCAAAGGCUCUACCAGAGGUCAGGUGCAAAUAGAACACAUGAACAUUUGGAGUGGAGCUGUCUCUAAAUGUGUACAUCUCACAUUUCUUUUGAGCUACUGAAAUUCUGUUUCACCCAUAGAGCACCGUGUCUUCUUUGAUGCAGUCAUACCACGCUGGGUGGUUCUUUGCCAGUGUCUCCCAUGUCAUGCAAUUGAUUGCAAAAUUCUUCAGAGAGACUUUG